Sinocyclocheilus grahami is the source of this 90-nucleotide long non-coding RNA. RefSeq lists it as uncharacterized. The transcript has 3 exons. Lineage: Eukaryota; Metazoa; Chordata; Actinopteri; Cypriniformes; Cyprinidae. The record is from RefSeq and is a predicted model, not a curated record.
AAGAUAACUUACAGUUUUUUACGAUUGCUUAAGCACAAUUUUGAAAACAGGGCCCGGUUUGUCAAAACACUACACACAAUUAACAAUACC